Pteronotus mesoamericanus is the source of this 105-nucleotide small nuclear RNA. Lineage: Eukaryota; Metazoa; Chordata; Mammalia; Chiroptera; Mormoopidae. The record is from RefSeq and is a predicted model, not a curated record.
GUUUGCUUCAGCCCCACAUAUACUAAAAUUAGAAUGAUCCAGAGAAGAUUAGCAUGGCUCCUGUGCAAGGGUGACAUGCAAAUACUUGAAGUAUUCCCUAUUUUU